RNAcentral lists this ribosomal RNA (470 nucleotides) under uncultured organism. Its description in RNAcentral is "partial 16S ribosomal RNA". It matches the Rfam family "Bacterial small subunit ribosomal RNA", at positions 335 to 797 of the family's 1533-position model. The record is from RNAcentral.
ACUCCUACGGGAGGCAGCAGUGGGGAAUAUUGCACAAUGGGCGCAAGCCUGAUGCAGCCAUGCCGCGUGUAUGAAGAAGGCCUUCGGGUUGUAAAGUACUUUCAGCGGGGAGGAAGGCGAUAAGGUUAAUAACCUUGUUGAUUGACGUUACCCGCAGAAGAAGCACCGGCUAACUCCGUGCCAGCAGCCGCGGUAAUACGGAGGGUGCAAGCGUUAAUCGGAAUUACUGGGCGUAAAGCGCACGCAGGCGGUCUGUCAAGUCGGAUGUGAAAUCCCCGGGCUCAACCUGGGAACUGCAUUCGAAACUGGCAGGCUAGAGUCUUGUAGAGGGGGGUAGAAUUCCAGGUGUAGCGGUGAAAUGCGUAGAGAUCUGGAGGAAUACCGGUGGCGAAGGCGGCCCCCUGGACAAAGACUGACGCUCAGGUGCGAAAGCGUGGGGAGCAAACAGGAUUAGAUACCCCAGUAGUCCC